RNAcentral lists this ribosomal RNA (988 nucleotides) under uncultured bacterium. RNAcentral's name for it is "bacterial SSU rRNA". It matches the Rfam family "Bacterial small subunit ribosomal RNA", at positions 8 to 999 of the family's 1533-position model. The record is from RNAcentral.
AGAGUUUGAUCCUGGCUCAGAACGAACGUUGGCGGCGUGGAUUAGGCAUGCAAGUCGAACGAAUCCCAAGGGGCUUGCUCCUUGGGGGAAGUGGCGAAAGGGGCAGUAAGGCGUGGGUAACCUACCCCGGGGACCGGGAUAGCCUUCCUAACGGGAGGGUAAUACCGGGCGAUUUGACGAGGGGGCAUCUCCUUGUCAGGAAACGAGUUUCGCCUCGGGAGGGGCUCACGUGGUAUUAGCUUGUUGGCGGGGUAACGGCCCACCAAGGCCAAGAUGCCUAGCGGGUGUGAGAGCACGACCCGCGCCACUGGCACUGAGACACUGGCCAGACUCCUACGGGAGGCUGCAGUCGAGGAUCUUCGGCAAUGGGCGCAAGCCUGACCGAGCGACGCCGAGUGCGCGAUGAAGGCCUUCGGGUUGUAAAGCGCUGUCGAGGGGGAGGAAAGUCCGCAAGGGCCUGACCUAUCCCUGGAGGAAGCACGGGCUAAGUUCGUGCCAGCAGCCGCGGUAAGACGAACCGUGCGAACGUUGUUCGGAAUCACUGGGCUUAAAGGGCGCGUAGGCGGUCAAUCACGUCUGGGGUGAAAGCUUUCGGCUUAACCGGAAAAGUGCCUUGGAUACGGAUUGACUUGAGGGAGGUAGGGGCAGGUGGAACUUCCGGUGGAGCGGUGAAAUGCGUUGAUAUCGGAAGGAACGCCGGUGGCGAAAGCGACCUGCUGGAUCUCUUCUGACGCUGAGGCGCGAAAGCUAGGGGAGCAAACGGGAUUAGAUACCCCGGUAGUCCUAGCCCUAAACGUUGGGUACUAGGUAGGAGACUUAACAUGGGUUUCCUGCCGAAGCAAAAGUGCUAAGUACCCCGCCUGGGGAGUAUGGUCGCAAGGCUGAAACUCAAAGGAAUUGACGGGGGCUCACACAAGCGGUGGAGCAUGUGGCUUAAUUCGAGGCUACGCGAAGAACCUUAUCCUGGACUUGACAUGUGCGAAAGCGC